This 409-nucleotide ribosomal RNA is filed under the name Fusobacteriota bacterium. RNAcentral describes it as "Fusobacteria bacterium partial 16S ribosomal RNA". It matches the Rfam family "Bacterial small subunit ribosomal RNA", at positions 355 to 776 of the family's 1533-position model. Lineage: Bacteria; Fusobacteriati; Fusobacteriota. The record is from RNAcentral.
UGGGGAAUAUUGCACAAUGUAGGGAACUCUGAUGCAGCAACGCCGCGUGCGGGAUGACGGCCUUCGGGUUGUAAACCGCUUUCAGCCAUGACGAAGCUUUUGUGACGGUAGUGGUAGAAGAAGCACCGGCUAACUACGUGCCAGCAGCCGCGGUGAUACGUAGGGUGCGAGCGUUGUCCGGAAUUAUUGGGCGUAAAGAGCUUGUAGGCGGUUUGUCGCGUCGAUAGUGUAAACACGCAGCUUAACUGUGUGCCUGCUGUCGAUACGGGCUGACUAGAGGAGGGUAGGGGAGAAUGGAAUUCCCGGUGGAGCGGUGGAAUGCGAAGAUAUCGGAAGGAACAACAGUGGCGAAGGCGGUUCUCUGGACCUUUCCUGACGCUGAGAAGCGAAAGCGUGGGUAGCAAACAGG